This 315-nucleotide ribosomal RNA is filed under the name uncultured eukaryote. RNAcentral's name for it is "partial 18S ribosomal RNA". It matches the Rfam family "Eukaryotic small subunit ribosomal RNA", at positions 1470 to 1796 of the family's 1831-position model. The record is from RNAcentral.
CCCUUAGACGUUCUGGGCCGCACGCGCGCUACACUGACCAGUGCAACAAGCAUCCGUCCUUGGCCGACAGGCCCGGGCAAUCUUUGAACGCUGGUCGUGAUGGGGAUAGACUUUUGCAAUUUUUGGUCUUCAACGAGGAAUUCCUAGCAAACGCAAGUCAUCAACUUGCAUUGAUUACGUCCCUGCCCUUUGUACACACCGCCCGUCGCACCUACCGAUUGAAUGGUCCGGUGAAGCCUCCGGAUUGGCGCGCACCUCGGUGCCGCCGAGAAGUUGGCUAAACCUUACCAUUUAGAGGAAGGUGAAGUCGUAACA